Molecule: long non-coding RNA, 1216 nt
Organism: Alexandromys fortis (reed vole)
Lineage: Eukaryota; Metazoa; Chordata; Mammalia; Rodentia; Cricetidae
Exons: 3
Source: RefSeq, a predicted model, not a curated record
CACACCGCGUGUUGAAGCCUCUUUGGCCGUUGGCCCCUGGUUUGUGAGCUGCUAAGAUGCGGGCGGCACGAGGCUGGUGCGAUGCACGCCGCCGGCCGUCUGCAGCACAGAAGCCUGGUGAGGGCUAGCACGCGGGCCACAGCCAUGUGAAGCUGACCCCGUGUUGAGCGGAAACACCCGAGGACCUCCACUGUCACGGAUGGUAACAUCGGAACUCAUUGCUGUUUGGUGAUGGAAGAGACGUUCAGGUAUUGUUAAAGUAGUAGUGGCUAAGAUCUUCCGGGCACCUAACAUGGAAUCUUCGCAUUUAAAUCUUGGUAAUGGGCAUUGUGAAUGUUAAUACGGCGGGCCUUUAUUUCAUAUGAAGUUUUUAAUAAGCUAAAUAAAGUUUGGUUGAUGAGUAAUAAGAUUGUGUUGUUUAUUUUUGGAGACUGAGUAGAGUUCUUACACAGACAUUUUGCAGAGAAAAUGUCUGGGAUAACCAGGAUACUUGAGGGGAGGGUGGUCUCAUUGCUGUAUGUUAUGCAAAGGUGCACUGAACUUGUGUGUCGAUUUUGUUAAAGCUUUGGGCUUGUGCAAACUAAAAGUUAACCGCUUGUCACAUUUGUCAUUUGCUGGCCUUAGCAUUUUCAGAGUAAUUUUGUUACGCAGGCAACCAACGGACAGUUGCCUUUAUAGAGAGAUGUGUGUGUUGUGCGCUGCUCACCAAGCCUUUCUGUCAGCAUGUACCAUGUGAGGAUGGGGUUUUACAAAAACAGUGUAUUUGAGCUUCACGUCCCCAAAGUGAAUAAUACGGCACCUUUUAGGGGGACAUGCUUUUGACUACUGGUACCUAGUUAAAUAUACGGUCAUACUAAAGUGGAUGGCAACCUUAAGGAAUUUGCUCCAGCAAUAGUCUUGUUUGAGAUUGCAGUAUACCUUACCUAAGGGAACUUGGGAACUCUAAUAAGAAAUACAGAUUCCAAAUUUGAAAGGGACCACUGGCUUCCCAAUUUGUAAGUUGUAUGGCCACUUCGUGUGGUCUAUUUUAUGUUGUGUGCAUAUUUUUUCCCAUCAGAUUGUGUCCGGUUAGUCCUGAGAAACCUGUAGGCUUAUUGGCAACUGCCAGUAGGUGGCACUCUUGUACCAUGUCCAAAAGGCAGUGUAGUGGAAACUCUACUUUAGCUGCCUCCAGUGUUGGGGGGAGGCUUGGGUAGUAGUAAAUCAGUAAAAAAAA